This 460-nucleotide ribosomal RNA is filed under the name uncultured bacterium. Its description in RNAcentral is "SSU rRNA". It matches the Rfam family "Bacterial small subunit ribosomal RNA", at positions 26 to 518 of the family's 1533-position model. The record is from RNAcentral.
AGAAUCAACGCUGGCGGCGUGCCUAACACAUGCAAGUCGCACGAGAAAGGGGCUUCGGCCCUGAGUACAGUGGCGCACGGGUGAGUAACACGUGAAUUAUCUACCUUCGAGUGGGGAAUAACUGGGAGAAAUCUCAGCUAAUACCGCAUAACACUUACGAGUCAAAGCAGCAAUGCGCUUGAAGAGGAGUUCGCGGCAGAUUAGUUAGUUGGCGGGGUAAUGGCCCACCAAGACGAUGAUCUGUAUCCGGCCUGAGAGGGCGCACGGACACACUGGAACUGAAACACGGUCCAGACUCCUACGGGAGGCAGCAGUGGGGAAUUUUGCGCAAUGGGGGAAACCCUGACGCAGCAACGCCGCGUGGAGGAUGAAAUCCCUUGGGAUGUAAACUCCUUUCGAUCGGGAAGAUUAUGACGGUACCGAUAGAAGAAGCCCCGGCUAACUUCGUGCCAGCAGCCGC